Molecule: ribosomal RNA, 227 nt
Filed under: uncultured bacterium
Lineage: Bacteria
Description: partial 16S ribosomal RNA
Rfam family: Bacterial small subunit ribosomal RNA
Source: RNAcentral
CUGAACCAGCCAAGUAGCGUGAAGGAUGACUGCCCUAUGGGUGGUAAACUUCUUUUAUAAAGGAAUAAAGUCGGGUAUGGAUACCCGUUUGCAUGUACUUUAUAAAUAAGGAUCGGCUAACUCCGUGCCAGCAGCCGCGGUAAUACGGAGGAUCCGAGCGUUAUCCGGAUUUAUUGGGUUUAAAGGGAGCGUAGAUGGAUGUUUAAGUCAGUUGUGAAAGUUUGCGG